Molecule: long non-coding RNA, 117 nt
Organism: Aricia agestis (brown argus)
Lineage: Eukaryota; Metazoa; Arthropoda; Insecta; Lepidoptera; Lycaenidae
Exons: 3
Source: RefSeq, a predicted model, not a curated record
AAAUUCUCGUGUCACAAUGUUAGUUACCGUACUCCUCCGAAACGACUUUACUGAUUUUUACCAAAUGUCAUAUGCAAAUUCAGUAGGUACUGAGUCUGAGAAUCGGCUACUGGGUAC